Molecule: ribosomal RNA, 253 nt
Filed under: uncultured bacterium
Lineage: Bacteria
Description: partial 16S ribosomal RNA
Rfam family: Bacterial small subunit ribosomal RNA
Source: RNAcentral
UACGUAGGUGACAAGCGUUGUCCGGAUUUACUGGGCGUAAAGAGCGCGCAGGCGGUCGUUCAAGUCGAGUGUGAAAGCCCCCGGCUCAACUGGGGAGGGUCACUCGAUACUGAUCGACUCGAAGGCAGGAGAGGGAAGUGGAAUUCCCGGUGUAGUGGUGAAAUGCGUAGAUAUCGGGAGGAACACCGGUGGCGAAGGCGACAUCCUGGACCAACACUGACGCUGAGGGGCGAAAGCCAGGGGAGCAAACGGG